Molecule: transfer RNA, 68 nt
Filed under: Helictopleurus quadripunctatus
Lineage: Eukaryota; Metazoa; Arthropoda; Insecta; Coleoptera; Scarabaeidae
Description: tRNA-Phe
Source: RNAcentral
ACUUAAAUAGCUUAAGUUUAAGAGCAUGAUAUUGAAGAUAUUAAGGUAAUAAUAGUUAUUUUUAAGUA